CGCAUCCCCUUCCCACCCCGCUCCCACUGCUGCUUCCCCUUUGGCCGCAGCCCCGGGGGCAGCGCGCAAUUAACGGCGUUUCCACGCGCCUCCCUUCCAGAUGGCCAGCCUGGCUCCAGCGUGCGUUUCUCCCUCUUUUCUUCUCCUCCCGUACAAAUACACGGCGUACCCCCGGCUCCAAUCCCGGCUUGCAGGAAAAUCAUUUCAUUUCGGAAAUUUAAAGACGAUCUCUGCAGAUUAAAAUGAUGGAACAGCUGUGGAGUGAUGGAACAAAGUGAGGGGAGGGGGGGCCGGUUGGGGAAGGCGGCCCGUUGCCUCUCUCCCCCCCCUUUGGCCAAGGUAGCACCGGGUCUUAAAAGGAAAAUGCCAUCAUCAAGUGCGUUCUGCUUGGCCAUCCCUGUGUUUUGAGCACGGCUCUUUGCGGGUUAUCCCCCCCCCCCUUUACCCCCCCGGGUGUCUCUCCAGGGUUGUGCUCACAGAUUGCUUUUUGGGAAGGCAGGGCUGGUGCUCAGGGUGGGUGUCACCUCCUUGGGUGUGCAGCACCUGGAUGCAGGGCUGGGAGGGCGCCUGCAGCCCGCGUUGGUUAACAGCAAGAGACUGGAAGUCAGGACCGAUUUUUCCAGCUGGAUUAGAUGGGUCAGCUGCCGUGUAGCCUCCCUGUCUGAGGAACGCAGAGGAAGCAGCUCUUGAUGAGCUGAGCUGCUUGGACAAAGCAGUGAGGUGAAAACGAGCACGCGAUUCCCGGCUGUCUGGAGGCUCCGCGGUGCUUUUUAGGAGGAGAUGAUGGAUGGAGGUUGGGGGAGCCCGGCAGCUCGGACAUGGAUGUGCCCCUGGGUACAGGAGCCGUGAGAUGGCCCUUUGCAGCCUUUGGCAGCCCGGGGUGUUGGUGGCAUUUGUAGGGACGAAGUAAAAGGCCAAGGAAAGGGCAUUGCCUUCUGCGAGGCACGGGGAAGCCUCACCUCCACAGGGGGCCGGCGGCGCUACCGUGUCCCUGAGCUCAGUGUCCUUACGGAGGUGGCACUCAGAGGGACACUGGGGGUCCUGGCUAUAACCGUGCCCGCUGCGGUGCUGCCAGGCGUCUGCUUUUCCAUUUGCCUUUCACCGCCGCUUCUCCCCGAAAUAUAUUCCAGUGGGGAUGACUCAUCCUUCCUCUCAGGACUCCAACCUGCGGUAAUGAGAUGUAAAUCCUUGCAUGACCUAUUAUAUUAGCUUAUGCUAUAUCACACAUCUCCGUGGAUUAGGAGGGAGGGAGACGAGACGUCCUCCCGUGGCAGCAGCCGGUGGGAUCUAAGAGGAUCGCUCCUCGGCGUUGGCACCUGGUUUGAAUACCUCUGCCAUGAGAUCUGCUCGCAGUGUGACGCACGUCAGCCCGGCUCUUCUUUCCAGAGGCUACCUUGCUGGCUGUCCAGCCAGGUGCUCAGACACGAGGUGAUGUUUCUAUGACGCCGCUCUUUCAAUUGAGCCAACUCCAAGGCAAGGCCAAGUGCAACCCCACGCCGCCCUCUGUACCCAAAUCCUGCACCACCCCAUUACCUGCUGCAGCCCUCCCAGGGAUGAGCUGAAUCCAGGUGUCACCUGGAGCUACGGCACCAUACAGAUGACACCAGCCCACGCCAUGAGGCUGCUCGGCCUUUCUCUCCAUUUCAAAAGCCACGUUCUUGCUGGCUUUGCCUGAAAAUGACUUUAAUCUUCAUAAGCCCGAGAAGUAAAGCUGCUUAUAGGCGCUGCGAAGAACUUGGGGGAAAGGGAGG
This is a long non-coding RNA of Gallus gallus (chicken), 1751 nucleotides long. NCBI's taxonomy places the organism in Eukaryota, Metazoa, Chordata, Aves, Galliformes, Phasianidae. The record is from Ensembl.